CUAUUGUUGUUGUUGUUGUUGUUGUUGUUGUUGUUGUUGUUGUUGUCGUUGUUGUCGUUAAUGUCGUUGUUGUCAUUGUUGUCGCUAUCGUUCUUGCCGUUGUUCUCGUUAUUGUCGCUGUUGUUGUUGUCGUCGUCGUCGUUAUUUGUGUUGUUGUUGUCAUUGUUGUUGUUUUUAUUUUUGUUGUUGUUGUUGUUGUUGUUGACGUCUUCGUCGUUAUCGUCUUCAUUGUUUUUGUUGUUGUUGUU
Molecule: long non-coding RNA, 248 nt
Filed under: Hordeum vulgare
Lineage: Eukaryota; Viridiplantae; Streptophyta; Magnoliopsida; Poales; Poaceae
Description: long non-coding RNA (HVUL_LNC021405)
Source: RNAcentral